GAUGAACGCUAGCUACAGGCUUAACACAUGCAAGUCGAGGGGUAACGAGAGGUAAGCUUGCUUUCCUUGUCGACGACCGGCGCACGGGUGAGUAACGCGUAUCCAACCUGCCCCCAACUAGGGAAUAACCUUGCGAAAGUAAGACUAAUACCCUAUAAUUUCCUCAGAUGACAUCUGACGAGGAAUAAAGAUUUAUCGGUUGUGGAUGGGGAUGCGUCUGAUUAGCUUGUUGGCGGGGUAACGGCCCACCAAGGCAACGAUCAGUAGGGAUUCUGAGAGGAAGGUCCCCCACAUUGGAACUGAGACACGGGCCAAACUCCGACGGGAGGCAGCAGUGAGGAAUAUUGGUCAAUGGGCGGAAGCCUGAACCAGCCAAGUAGCGUGCAGGAUGACGGCCCUAUGGGUUGUAAACUGCUUUUAUACAGGAAUAAAGUUAGCCACGUGUGGUUAUUUGUAGGUACUGUAUGAAUAAGGACCGGCUAAUUCCGUGCCAGCCGCCGCAGUAA
This 506-nucleotide ribosomal RNA is filed under the name uncultured bacterium. Its description in RNAcentral is "partial 16S ribosomal RNA". It matches the Rfam family "Bacterial small subunit ribosomal RNA", at positions 28 to 523 of the family's 1533-position model. The record is from RNAcentral.